RNAcentral lists this transfer RNA (74 nucleotides) under Nanobdellota archaeon. RNAcentral's name for it is "tRNA-Ala". It matches the Rfam family "tRNA". From Rfam's summary of the family: Transfer RNA (tRNA) molecules are approximately 80 nucleotides in length. Their secondary structure includes four short double-helical elements and three loops (D, anti-codon, and T loops). The record is from RNAcentral. Lineage: Archaea; Nanobdellati; Nanobdellota.
GGGCCAAUAGCUCAGUCCGGUAGAGUACUCCGCUGGCAGCGGAGGGGUCUCGGGUUCGAAUCCCGAUUGGUCCA